GAUGAACGCUGGCGGCGUGCCUAAUACAUGCAAGUCGAACGCGCAGCGAGAGGUGCUUGCACCUUUCAAGCGAGUGGCGAACGGGUGAGUAACACGUGGAUAACCUGCCUCAAGGCUGGGGAUAACAUUUGGAAACAGAUGCUAAUACCGAAUAAAACUUAGUAUCGCAUGAUACAAAGUUGAAAGGCGCUACGGCGUCACCUAGAGAUGGGUCCGCGGUGCAUUAGUUAGUUGGUGGGGUAAAGGCCUACCAAGACAAUGAUGCAUAGCCGAGUUGAGGGCCUGAUCGGCCAAAUUGGGACGGGGACACGGCCCAAACUCCUACGGGAGUCUGCAGUAGGGAAUCUUCCACAAUGGGCGAAGGCCUGAUGGAGCAACGCCGCGUGUGUGAUGAAGGCGUUAGGGUCGUAAAGCACUGUUGUAUGGGAAGAAAUGCUAGAAUAGGGAAUGAUUCUAGUUCGACGGUACCAUACCAGAAAGGGACGGCUAAAUACGUGCCAGCAGCCGCCGUAA
This 513-nucleotide ribosomal RNA is filed under the name uncultured bacterium. RNAcentral's name for it is "partial 16S ribosomal RNA". It matches the Rfam family "Bacterial small subunit ribosomal RNA", at positions 28 to 523 of the family's 1533-position model. The record is from RNAcentral.